RNAcentral lists this transfer-messenger RNA (320 nucleotides) under pig gut metagenome. It matches the Rfam family "transfer-messenger RNA". Rfam says of the family: Bacterial tmRNA, also known as 10Sa RNA or SsrA, is named for its dual tRNA and mRNA-like properties. The record is from RNAcentral.
GUUAAGGUUUCGACGGGGUUUCUAAAGUCGAAGAAGCAAGCCGUUGCGACACGUUAAUCGCAAACUUAAAAUUAAACGCUAACAGAAAUUUAGCAAUCGCUGCCUAAUUGCAGCUGCCCUACCUUAGGCACUCACUCCUUUGGAACGGGUAUCGACCAGGUGAGAAACGACAUAUGCAAAGCUUUGAGUAUAUGGGCGUAAUAUGAAGCUACUGAAUGCAUUCGGGUGCUUACCACUGAGUGCAGGAGGGAAUGUUAAUCGAUAAGCUAAGCUUGUAGAAGAGCGGUGGAAGGGGCUUCGGACACGGGUUCGACUCCCGU